Molecule: non-coding RNA, 123 nt
Organism: Triticum aestivum (bread wheat)
Lineage: Eukaryota; Viridiplantae; Streptophyta; Magnoliopsida; Poales; Poaceae
Source: Rfam
CUAGUACUGGUUCCGUCCGAAAAUACUUGUCGAAAAAAUCAUAAAACGGAUGUAUCUAAAACUAAAAUACGUAUAGAUACAUCCAUUCCUCCCACAAAUAUUUUCGGACGGAGGGAGUACUAC